UUAAGCCAAAAAUGUAACGAAGAAUAUAUUUGUUGCAUUUUUAAUUCUUAGUUCACAGGUAUUUUUGACACUUUUUUUUUAAUUCAUAUGGUAAACAGUGCCACUAAUCCCUUUUCUCUUUUCUACACUCUUUAUCAAAUAUAUACAAGUCCAACCUCCAAAAAGGCUCUUAAUAGGAUGCACUGAUCUCUUUUCUAAAAAAAGAAAUAAAUUGUAGUUCAUCUUGUACCUCUUGUGGGUUAUCUUUCAACUCCAUCCUUGCGUUGAUGUGUUGUUGCUCUUUCUAUAAACUUCCCUUGGUUCUAGUGAGCUCAGGUUCUCUCCUAUUGACUAGCUUCUCCACCACAUUUCUAAUCUAUAUCUUCCCUUUUCAGGUGGUUGGGGGUUGUCCCUAGGGUGUUGAAGAUGUUGUUGUAUCUUUGUUGUUUCUCCCCCUCCCCCCAGGUCACUGAGAAGGUUGAGUUGUUGUGAAGGGAGGCUCCAUCUACCCCUAUUUUUGGUGAAGGUUUUUGGUAACUAGGGCAUCUAGCUAGAAUUAGUACAGUAGAGUAGUUGUCUUUGUGACUAAAAUAAUUAUCUUUGUUCCCUUUCUUAUUUCUGAUUCCCAUGGGAUUGUAAUUAUUGGAAUCACCUGCUGCUUAUCUGAACUAUGUGUGAAUGCUCUUUUAAUCCAUGCAUGUUUACUGUUAUGCUUGAA
Long non-coding RNA from Capsicum annuum, 697 nucleotides. RefSeq lists it as uncharacterized. The record is from RefSeq and is a predicted model, not a curated record. Lineage: Eukaryota; Viridiplantae; Streptophyta; Magnoliopsida; Solanales; Solanaceae. The transcript has 2 exons.